Molecule: long non-coding RNA, 204 nt
Filed under: Sorghum bicolor (sorghum)
Lineage: Eukaryota; Viridiplantae; Streptophyta; Magnoliopsida; Poales; Poaceae
Description: long non-coding RNA (SBIC_LNC003155)
Source: RNAcentral
AAAGCUAAAAGCGGAAAAACAAAGGUGUGUUGCCGAUGAAAGCUUCAGAUGUUCAGCAGCGUUUGGAUGGCUGAUAUGGCGCGCAGCCGAAUCUGAUUGGCUGUCUCUAUUUCUUUGAUAUCAUCAUCGGCAGAACCUUCUAUCGGCUUCAGCUUCCUCUUCAGCUGCAGCGCUUUGCGACCAUGGACGUUUCGUUCUUGUUCA